CAAGGCGCAUCCUUCUAGGCUGUGGGCCGCACAGCGCGAAGCUACCGCCCCGCCCUUGGGAGGGGGCAAAGGGAGGGGGGGGGGAAAUGCGCUGCACCAAUAGGAAACGCAGCCGCGCGCCAUCGAUCUUCCCGCCAGCAAAUCAACAGCGCCUCUGGCGGGCCCUUCCGCCCGCUCCCAGGAGGUACUCGCCCUCAAGCAAGCGAGCGGGGGGGGGCGUGGCCAGGAAGGUGUCCCACUCCCAGACUCCUCCCCUUUCUCGCUCCAGAGCGGAGGUGCCGAGAGCCCUGGGCUAGCGGGAGGCGAGCACGCGUCAAAGCCCCGGGUUCGAGGCCCGGCCCGCCUUAGCCACGGGCGGGAGCCAGGGCCUCUGACACUAACCGACUGCUGAGCCGGGGAUCGCCGGCCCGGGGGGCGGGGGCAGCGUCUCCUCCCCUGGGGCCCGAGUCCAGGGCGCGCCGGCCCCUGGCUGACGCCGAAACAAGCGCCCAGCGGGCCGGGCCCCAGCCCCCGGCGCCCUAACCGCUGUCAACCGGCCUGCGCUGCGCCUGCAAAGGCCGAGCCGUUCCCUGAGGCGGUCACCCAGGGCCGGGCAGCGCGGCGGCGGGGAAGGUCCCACGCCGCAGCCAACCGCCCUGGCUCAGAGACGCUUGUAAGAGGCCAAGCCUCAGGGGCGCCCUAGGCCGGGCUCCCGAGGAGAGAGGGAUUACAUCUUCAGCUUUCAAUUCGUGGCAUGCUCUGAGAGUUGCCAUCAAGCCCGAUGAGCGGGGAAGCCGCAUGCCAAACCAACUCUGCUCUUGGUGAAGAAGCUGCCCGCGUUGCAAGCCACCCUGCUGAGCACUCUAGAAGGGUUGCUUACAAAAGGUCAGGCCAGCAACUGCAGUAGAAAUUUUUUUAAAAAGCUGUAUUCUUAGAGAAAAGUGUCUUCUCUGGAGGGCUGGCUGCAGAAUGGAAUGGAAUGGAAUGGAAUGGAAUGAAGACUGGGUGACAGUCAGUGCGUUUAAGACUGCAGAUAGCACUGUUGAUAAAGUUUGUCCAAGAAAGUUCAGCACUUUCCAUUUCUGCUCCUACCACCAAGAAUGCGGUGGGUGGAGUCAGUUGAACAAAUUCUAAACCCCGAUUAACCACAGGCUAACCCAGUGGCUCCAUGUCACACUGCCAUUUCAGGGGACCCAGGUUUAUCAGCUACCUUGAAGCUUGCAAACAUUACACUGGUGAAGAGAAGGGAUACUGUGGAAGUGACAUCCCUUGGAAAGAAGAGAAAACAAGGAGCACCACACUUCAGCACCCAGUGCUGGUGACUGAAUGCUGAUAAAGGCAAUCCCAAAAUGUCAGCUGGCCAAGAUAGCAAGUCAAGGAAAAUAAGGAUAUAAAGCAGUUGAUCCUCAAAUGAAGUGGUGGCUUAAUUCUUGUUUUCAUGCAUAAAGACAGAGAGAAAAGAGGGUAUUUUAAUUCACUAGAAGCCAUCCAGCUCUUCUUCUUCCAAGCUCCACCUACUUACAUGGCAU
Molecule: long non-coding RNA, 1508 nt
Organism: Dermochelys coriacea (leatherback sea turtle)
Lineage: Eukaryota; Metazoa; Chordata; Testudines; Dermochelyidae
Exons: 4
Source: RefSeq, a predicted model, not a curated record